Molecule: small nuclear RNA, 107 nt
Organism: Erinaceus europaeus (western European hedgehog)
Lineage: Eukaryota; Metazoa; Chordata; Mammalia; Eulipotyphla; Erinaceidae
Source: Ensembl
GUGCUCACUUCGGCAGCACAUAUACUAAAAUUGGAACGAUACAGAGAAGAUUAGCAUAGCCCCUAUGCAAGGAUGACACGCAAAUUCGUGAAGUGUUCCAUAUUUUU